Molecule: ribosomal RNA, 621 nt
Filed under: Favolaschia sp.
Lineage: Eukaryota; Fungi; Basidiomycota; Agaricomycetes; Agaricales; Mycenaceae
Description: LSU rRNA
Rfam family: Eukaryotic large subunit ribosomal RNA
Source: RNAcentral
CGGAGGAAAAGAAACUAACAAGGAUUCCCCUAGUAACUGCGAGUGAAGCGGGAAAAGCUCAAAUUUAAAAUCUGGCGGUCCUUGUGGCCGUCCGAGUUGUAAUUUAGAGAAGUGUUAUCCGCGCUGGACCGUGUACAAGUCUCCUGGAAUGGAGCGUCAUAGAGGGUGAGAAUCCCGUCUUUGACACGGACUACCAGGGCAUUGUGAUGCGCUCUCAAAGAGUCGAGUUGUUUGGGAAUGCAGCUCAAAAUGGGUGGUAAAUUCCAUCUAAAGCUAAAUAUUGAGGAGAGACCGAUAGCGAACAAGUACCGUGAGGGAAAGAUGAAAAGAACUUUGGAAAGAGAGUUAAACAGUACGUGAAAUUGCUGAAAGGGAAACGCUUGAAGUCAGUCGCGUUGUUCAGAACUCAGCCCGCCUUUUGGUUGGUGUACUUUCUGUUCAACGGGUCAGCAUCAGUUUUGGUCGGCGGAAAAAGGCUUAGAGAAUGUGGCAUCUUCGGGUGUGUUAUAGCUCUGGGUCGUAUACGUCGGCUGGGACUGAGGAACUCAGCACGCCGAAAGGCCGGGUACUUGUACCACGUUCGUGCUUAGGAUGCUGGCAUAAUGGCUUUAAUCGACCCGU